CAUUUCUUAAUCAUUCACAGGUAGCUGACAAACAGGGAGCCAUGCCCCUCUCCUCAGAGAGGACUUCAAAGCUGUCCCUGCCUGCCGUUACUUGGGAUCCCUUCCUCCUCAGUGCACAGAGGCCUCUGAAGUGACCCUGAGACUUGGAAGAAAUGAGAAGUGAGCCUCCUCUGUAAACACUAGGGAAGCUAACUUGAGAUGAUUAAUCUUUAGCGAAGACAAUAUCAUGAGAAAACUGUCAGUUACCAGAAUGACUGGACUAUAACCAGAAGUAUUCCAUGCCUGAAUUUGCUGGCCCCCUCAUCAUCUGUGGGUUCUGCAUUGACAGAUUCAACCAACUGAGGAUCAAAAAUAUUAGGGGAAAAAAAAUUUUAAUGACAAUACAA
This is a long non-coding RNA of Sapajus apella (tufted capuchin), 386 nucleotides long. RefSeq lists it as uncharacterized. NCBI's taxonomy places the organism in Eukaryota, Metazoa, Chordata, Mammalia, Primates, Cebidae. The transcript is spliced from 2 exons. The record is from RefSeq and is a predicted model, not a curated record.